GAUUUCUGAUGUCGCUUUGUCAGCCCACCGUGGUUACACGCGUGAGUGCUGACGAAGGUGCCGUCUGUCUUCCUGUCGGUCGCUGCCCUCUUCACUGAGUGGUGGUUUCGUAUUGUACAGGAUCUUUUACUUUGAACAAAUUAGAGUGUUUCAAGCAGGCUUUAUGCUAUGAAUACAUUAGCAUGGAAUAAUAAUUUAGGACUUCGGUUCUAUUUUGUUGGUUUCUAGGACUGAAGUAAUGAUUGAUAGGGAUAGUUGGGGGUGCUAGUAUUCAGCGGCCAGAGGUGAAAUUCUCGGAUUCGCUGAAGACUAACUUAUGCGAAAGCAUU
RNAcentral lists this ribosomal RNA (329 nucleotides) under Allapsidae sp. RNAcentral's name for it is "SSU rRNA". The stretch from base 117 to 329 matches the Rfam family "Eukaryotic small subunit ribosomal RNA", at positions 742 to 955 of the family's 1831-position model. Lineage: Eukaryota; Cercozoa; Glissomonadida; Viridiraptoridae. The record is from RNAcentral.